Equus caballus (horse) is the source of this 1705-nucleotide long non-coding RNA. The record is from Ensembl. NCBI's taxonomy places the organism in Eukaryota, Metazoa, Chordata, Mammalia, Perissodactyla, Equidae.
GGAUAAUCGCGUGUCGUUCCCUAGUGUUAUCCCAGCAGGGGGAGCGCGUGGCACUGAGCAGGCACUCAGUGAAAUAAGGCAUCAGUGGGAAAGAGUAUCAUGCAAAUGAAUUUAUCAGUUGAGCAAAUGAAUGGAGUAAAUGAAUGAUGCGCCCUGGGACCCAGGCACCAUCUCAGACAUUGCCAGCAGCCUUGGCAAAGAAAAAGAGAACGAGAAACAGCACCCUGGAAGUGAAAUGCUCCGACCAGAAGUGGCCCUCAGGUCUGCUCCCUUGGGACGAGGCCCCCUGGAGGCAGGUGGUGCACAUGCACCUGGCAGAGCUGGAAACCAGUGGUCAAUGGCACUGAGGACUGCCUGCCCACACCCUCACCGUGGGCCAGGGAUUGAUCUGCAAUCAUAAUGCAGUCUUAAUGUCUGCCUCAGAACCCCUGGACCCACCCCCACCUCCACCCAACAGAGUUUACCCCUCAGGGUCAGUCUGCAUUUUUAACAGACUUCCCCAGGAUCCACAUGUGCACCAGUAUUCCAAACAUGGGGAUUCUUUGAAUCUUCUAAGCAAGAAAAAUACAGGCCCUCCCACACCCCAGUAGAGAGGUGGGGAGCCUGGCAGCAUUCAAGGAAGUCUUCCCAGUGGUGGCAAUGCCCCAGUGGAGUCCUGGAGCAUCCAAGAUGGAUGCUGGGCCUGGGGCUGGAGGACAUGAGGCAUCAGGGGACUUGACAGGAGAUCAGUCUGGAAAGCUUUUAGGGCGUUUGAGGACGUGACGGGAUGCUGGCUUGGGAAUUCUGACCAUGUGAGACCAGAGACACCCACAGGAUGGGCAGACCCAGAAACAGGCAGUGAGAGGAGCCAGCGCUAGAGAGGAGGAACCGGUCAGAGCAAACACAACCAGGCAAUACAUCCAAAAAGUCCACAGACGUAGAGUCUUGCAGACCUUCGGCUCAGUCAUUCAGACACAGCACAGCAGGGAUGGCCGCCCACCUCUUCUCUGCCAUGUCUGCUUAAAACACCAUGACUAACAUAGUUGUUCACUAUGGCAUAUGGCAUAUACCCGCUAAAGAGGAGCAGCGUCAUGGAGUCACCUUUCUGCACAGAAGUCUCUGGGCCUUUCUGUCAUUAUAGCACAAGUCACUGCAAGUAUUCGUGAAUAAGUGUCCAGGAAGAAAAGACUUCCACCAGUCACCCCAGACAAAGAGCUGUCAUUGGGGAGACUGUCUGGUAGCAGGAGGCGGAGGCAGAGGCAGCUCCGGGCAGUUGGCUGUUCCCAGAAGGCCACACGCUGCUCUUGACUUGGCUUCUUCCAGCCCUAUUGCCUGCUGGCUGGCACCUGCCCCCUUGUGUUGUCUGCCCCUCAUCACUGGCAUUCUUCAAGUUUAUACGUGGGACGCCUACCACAGCAUGGCUGCCAAGCAGUGCCGUGUCCGCACCCGGGAUCCGAACCAGCGAACCCCGGGCCGCCGAGAAGCGGAACGUGCGAACUUAACCGCUGCGCCACCGGGCCGGCCCCAUCACCUGGAAAAUUUGAAAGGAGAUUCCUACUACUUUAAAAGUACAUCUCAUUUCUGGAUCUACUUGCCGUGAAUUAAUAUCUUUUUAUUAAACCUUAUAUUAUCUCAUGAAAAGUGUGAUCAUAUUGCAUUUUUUGCUACUUUCGUUAAAGGUAUUAAUGUAGACACUGAAAAUACACCACAGAUUUUGUAAUCCUGC